UCACUGGAAUGAAGUCUCUUUCCUCCAAAUUCCUUUUCAGGGAACUCUUGUUCACACCUGUGUAUCAGUUAAGAUUGUAUUUAGCAGCAGAGGAAGAUUAAUAUGGAAGGGGAUUGGAAUGAGUGUUCACUAAGCCAAACCAUGGUUCUGCCACAGUAUGCAUAGAGGAAAUGUGAGUGGUCCAGAGUAAACAGAAGACGCAAAAAGCGACUGGAAAUGGGGCUGGUAGAUGGGAACUGAAUUGUCAGUGCCGCCCUGCUACAGGUUUGGUUAAAACCACUUCUAGAAAGCCAGGCCCUGGAAGCUACAGGAAGGCUGUCAGUCCAUUAACUAUGACCCUGGGUUUGGUUAGUGGCAAAAAGUGCUAGGCUGAGACCUUUUCCAAAUGUGGGAGCCUAAGGAUGAAG
Long non-coding RNA from Symphalangus syndactylus (siamang), 407 nucleotides. RefSeq lists it as uncharacterized. The record is from RefSeq and is a predicted model, not a curated record. Lineage: Eukaryota; Metazoa; Chordata; Mammalia; Primates; Hylobatidae.